GCUCCGGUAGUAUAGUCCGGUUAAUGAUAGCCGAGAGUAUGACGGCCUCUCGAGCCGCCGACGCGGGUUCAAAUCCCGCCCGGAGCACCA
Molecule: transfer RNA, 90 nt
Filed under: Candidatus Bathyarchaeota archaeon
Lineage: Archaea; Thermoproteati; Candidatus Bathyarchaeota
Description: tRNA-Glu
Rfam family: tRNA
About the family: Transfer RNA (tRNA) molecules are approximately 80 nucleotides in length. Their secondary structure includes four short double-helical elements and three loops (D, anti-codon, and T loops). Further hydrogen bonds mediate the characteristic L-shaped molecular structure. tRNAs have two regions of fundamental functional importance: the anti-codon, which is responsible for specific mRNA codon recognition, and the 3' end, to which the tRNAs corresponding amino acid is attached (by aminoacyl-tRNA synthetases). tRNAs cope with the degeneracy of the genetic code in two manners: having more than one tRNA (with a specific anti-codon) for a particular amino acid; and 'wobble' base-pairing, i.e. permitting non-standard base-pairing at the 3rd anti-codon position.
Source: RNAcentral